GUCUUUUUGAGUUAUUUUUAAAGUCUGACCUGCCCACUGAAUAUUUUUAAAUGGCCGCAGUAUUCUAACUGUGCAAAGGUAGCAUAAUCAUUAGUCUUUUAAUUGAAGGCUGGUAUGAACGGUUGGACGAAGUAUAAGCUGUUUCAUAUAAAAUUAUAUUAGAAUUUUAUAUUUUAGUUAAAAAGCUAAAAUAUUAUUAAAAGACGAGAAGACCCUAUAAAUCUUUAUAUUUAAUAUUAUUCAAAUUUUUUUGAUUAAUUUUAUUUUUAUAAUAUUAAAUAUUUUGUUGGGGUGAUAUUAAAAUUUAAUAAACUUUUAAUUUUGAAUUAGAACAUUAAUUUAUGAAUAGUUGAUCCAUUAUUAAUGAUUAUAAGAUUAAGUUACUUUAGGGAUAACAGCGUAAUUUUUUUUGAGAGUUCAUAUCGACAAAAAAGUUUGCGACCUCGAUGUUGGAUUAAGAUAUAUAUUUAGGUGUAGCUGUUUAAAUAUUAAGUCUGUUCGACUUUUAAAUUCUU
RNAcentral lists this ribosomal RNA (515 nucleotides) under Ceratitis fasciventris. Its description in RNAcentral is "partial 16S ribosomal RNA". The stretch from base 391 to 515 matches the Rfam family "Bacterial large subunit ribosomal RNA", at positions 2473 to 2597 of the family's 2925-position model. Lineage: Eukaryota; Metazoa; Arthropoda; Insecta; Diptera; Tephritidae. The record is from RNAcentral.